This 66-nucleotide transfer RNA is filed under the name Carpilius maculatus. RNAcentral describes it as "tRNA-Tyr". It matches the Rfam family "tRNA". From Rfam's summary of the family: Transfer RNA (tRNA) molecules are approximately 80 nucleotides in length. The record is from RNAcentral. Lineage: Eukaryota; Metazoa; Arthropoda; Malacostraca; Decapoda; Carpiliidae.
GAUAAGAUGGCUGAGGUGUAGGCGGUAAAUUGUAAAUUUAUUAACAAGUAUUAAACUUUCUUAUUA